RNAcentral lists this ribosomal RNA (468 nucleotides) under uncultured bacterium. RNAcentral's name for it is "partial 16S ribosomal RNA". It matches the Rfam family "Bacterial small subunit ribosomal RNA", at positions 28 to 507 of the family's 1533-position model. The record is from RNAcentral.
GACGAACGCUGGCGGCGUGCUUAACACAUGCAAGUCGAACGGAAAGGCCCUGCUUUUGUGGGGUGCUCGAGUGGCGAACGGGUGAGUAACACGUGAGUAACCUGCCCUUGACUUUGGGAUAACUUCAGGAAACUGGGGUUAAUAUCGGAUCGGAGAUCAUGCUGCAUGGUGGGGGUUGGAACGUUUAGGCGGUUGGGGAUGGACUCGCGGCUUAUCAGCUUGUUGGUGGGGUAGUGGCUUACCAAGGCUUUGACGGGUAGCCGGCCUGAGAGGGUGACCGGCCACAUUGCGACUGAGAUACGGCCCAGACUCCUACGGUGGGCAGCAGUGGGGAAUAUUGCACAGUGGGCGGAAGCCUGAUGCAGCAACGCCGCGUGCGGGAUGACGUCCUUCGGGUUGUAAACCGCUUUCGCCUGUGACGAAGCGUGAGUGACGGUAAUGGGUAAAGAAGCACCGGCUAACUACGUG